GAUGUUACUUUCCAUGAGGAUGUUUUUCCUUUUGCCUCUUCAAGGAGUACCUCCUCUGUUCCACCUUCCAUUGUUCCUUCAUUCCCUGUCUGCUCCCCUGCUAUUGAUGAAUCAUUACUUAGUCCUUCCUCAACAUCUGAUACUUCUCCUUCCCUUUCUCCUCCUGUCUCUAAUCCCUGUCCUACUGCUGCUGUUCCAUUACAUACCACUACCACCACUUCCCAUUCUUUUCCACCUCCAGAACCUGUGUUACCUUCUCCUAGAAGAUCAAGCAGGCCUCAUGUCCCUCCUGCACAUCUUCAGCAAUACAUCUGUAACCUUCCUCCUUCCAUCUCUGGCACUAGUUCUUUUUCCACUUGCUGUAACAGCUCACAUUCUUUUCCACCUCCAGAACCUGUGUUUCCUGCUCCUAGAAGAUCAAGCAGGCCUCAUGUCCCUUCUGCACAUCUUCAGCAAUACAUAUGUAACCUUCCUCCUUCCAUCUCUGGCACUAGUUCUUUUUCCACUUGCCGUAACAGCUCAGUUCACACUGCACAUGUUGAGCCUACUUCUUACAGCCAGGCUGCUUCUGAUCCUGCCGGGCAGGAUGCCAUGACCAAAGAGUUUGAAGCUUUGGAAGCUAAUAAUACAUGGUCCAUAGUUCCCCUUACUCCUGGUAAGAGGCCUAUUUGAUGCAAGUGGAUUUACAAAGUUAAAUAUAGGGCCGAUGGGUGUGUGGAGAGAUAUAAAGCUAGGUUGGUUGUCAGGGGUGACACUCAGGUUGAGGGAGUGGACUUCGCUGAUACAUUUUCUC
This 793-nucleotide long non-coding RNA is filed under the name Nicotiana benthamiana. Its description in RNAcentral is "long non-coding RNA (NBEN_LNC012183)". The record is from RNAcentral. Lineage: Eukaryota; Viridiplantae; Streptophyta; Magnoliopsida; Solanales; Solanaceae.